Molecule: ribosomal RNA, 617 nt
Filed under: uncultured bacterium
Lineage: Bacteria
Description: bacterial SSU rRNA
Rfam family: Bacterial small subunit ribosomal RNA
Source: RNAcentral
CCUACGGGAGGCAGCAGUGGGGAAUUUUGGACAAUGGGCGCAAGCCUGAUCCAGCAAUGCCGCGUGAGUGAAGAAGGCCUUCGGGUUGUAAAGCUCUUUUGUCAGGGAAGAAACGGUGGGAGCUAAUAUCUCCCGCUAAUGACGGUACCUGAAGAAUAAGCACCGGCUAACUACGUGCCAGCAGCCGCGGUAAUACGUAGGGUGCAAGCGUUAAUCGGAAUUACUGGGCGUAAAGCGUGCGCAGGCGGUUUUGUAAGUCUGUCGUGAAAGCCCCGGGCUCAACCUGGGAAUUGCGAUGGAGACUGCAAGGCUUGAAUCUGGCAGAGGGGGGUAGAAUUCCACGUGUAGCAGUGAAAUGCGUAGAGAUGUGGAGGAACACCGAUGGCGAAGGCAGCCCCCUGGGUCAAGAUUGACGCUCAUGCACGAAAGCGUGGGGAGCAAACAGGAUUAGAUACCCUGGUAGUCCACGCCCUAAACGAUGUCUACUAGUUGUCGGGUUUUAAUUAACUUGGUAACGCAGCUAACGCGUGAAGUAGACCGCCUGGGGAGUACGGUCGCAAGNUUAAAACUCAAAGGAAUUGACGGCUGAGAGNGCGAGACGACGACGAGGGAGGAGG